CUGUCAAUGACAUCCUGCUGUUAAAUUUCAGAGUAAACAGUUAGCCUGCUAAUAAGAUAAAUGCAAUGCAGAGAAUAUAAAGCAGUAUGCUAGCAACACCAAGAAUUUUAGCCAGGUUCGACCCCUAACCCUAAUGGUCUACGUCCUGGUCCCCUACCAACUGGUAAGAGAUUAUAUUAUUAAUCAAUAAUAACAACGAUUACAAGAUUCAAUAAUAUAACUCCCUUUCUCCCUUGUUCCUGUUAUCAGCCUGCUGAAACCCCUGAACUACGAACCAAAAGCCUACCAAGACCUAUACUUCCCAAGUAUAUUCUCCUAGCUAACUAGUUCCCUUGUUCCCUUGUUUCACAAGCUGGAUACACAGCAACAAAACAUUACACCUUGAACAAUACAAUGAAUAAGUGUAAUACAACCGAAACUAUGAACUCUCAAUAUAGAUAUAUAUGCGAAUAUAAGUACUAGAGCUCAAAAAAGAUUUAGCAAUGUAAAGAGUUGUAUUUCAGAAAGCUUGGUGUGUUCUCCUUGUUAUGAAAAACGAAAUCACACUCAAGUAUUUAUACAUCACACUAACGGUCAUAAUCCAACAAAUUUCCAACGAUCUUGGUAACAACCUCACGUUUAAAUUUGAUUUGAAUGAUGAACGUUUGGAUGACAUAAGUUUACUGAGUAAAAGAUAGAAUACGUUUGAAAUCAACUCAGUAAAGUAUUUAAAUAAAAUUCGUUUGAAACAAAAUAGGAGUUGUUAAAAGAUAAGAUUUCUUUGAGAUAAAAUCUCCUAUUAGUUAGGAAAAAGUUUUU
Molecule: long non-coding RNA, 798 nt
Filed under: Daucus carota (carrot)
Lineage: Eukaryota; Viridiplantae; Streptophyta; Magnoliopsida; Apiales; Apiaceae
Description: long non-coding RNA (DCAR_LNC005103)
Source: RNAcentral